RNAcentral lists this unclassified non-coding RNA (1591 nucleotides) under Hevea brasiliensis (rubber tree). The record is from RNAcentral. Lineage: Eukaryota; Viridiplantae; Streptophyta; Magnoliopsida; Malpighiales; Euphorbiaceae.
UUUUAAGUUAAUUUUUAAUGCCCUCUAACUAAUAAUUCUAGCAAAACAACAAUGUACAGACAUGGUGUCCUGAAAGUCCAAGAUUAUUCAGCACCACUAAUGCGAUUUUUGGCUAAAAGAUGCCUAAGAACAUCAAGCUCUACUUAACAAAAGAUAAUUUACAUAACUUGUUUUUUUUUCUGUGGUUUAUGAGAACCUUACAAAUGAAGCUUCUUGAAAAUGAAUAAAUGAUGACAAAAAGUAUUAAAAUGCUGGAUUUUGAGGUCAUUCCCUGUUUUCUUCAGUAUCUGAAGCAGCAGCAUCCAUGGUAAUAUCACCAUCCAUGGAGACUGUAGAUGACUCUACACUGUCAUCAGCAGCGGAUGACUCUGACUCUGCAUCCUGUUGCUGCAGGCUCCAGUACAUUAUGCUUGCAGUCAAAAUAAGCAUCAUCUUCUGGUUUAUCUCUAUAAUGUCCUCAGGCAAUAAGAAAAUCGAGCAUCCAAGUUUUCGGGCUACACUUAUUAUAUAGGUAGCAUUCAUCUUCUUAUCCUCAUCACUUUCUCCCUUUGUAACAACUGCCCAAUUAACUACCCUUGGCUCCACUGAACUAAGAAGCUCAAGAAAGAAAAUUCCAUUUGAAAGGCUCUUAUCCUUGAAGCUUUCCAUUUGAGAUUUUCUGCCUGCUUUUUUCACUUUGCUAUUCGCCCAGUUUAAAAUGUCAGCAUCUGUAAUUUCUUUACCUUGGGAGUAGGAGGAGUGAGAUCUCAAGUUUUUUAAAAGCUGAAGCAUGGUAAACCUCAUCAGCUGCCACAAAAAUGCUAAUAUGAGCUUCUUAUUUCCCUGGACAAUGUCAUUCCCAGCAACAUUCACUAGAGAGAAAUGCAAUUCUUUCCCUAUCUGUACAACUUGGUUGCAAUUCUCAACUUUUCUAAAUGGCAUCUUUAUAGGAGGUUUAGUUGUCUGCUUCCAAUUUACCGAUCCGGGUGAAACUUUGUCAAGCACUUCUAAAAGAACCCAUCCAUUUCGGACAUCCUCAAAAACGUUAUUAACAUACGUAAAAAUUCCAAGACUAUUAAUCCACAACCGAAAGCAUCUCUCUUCCCGAGAAGUUUCAACAUCAUCCUCCAUCAUCUCAGCAAAGGACAUCUUAUUAGUGUCAACUGUCAAUCCAUUCCUGUGCUGGAAUAUUUGAGCCACAAAUGCAAGAUUAAGAUUUGGGGAUCCCUCAACAAUGUCUUGAGAAGUGAGAUAUCUUUUGCAAUCAAGUUUCUCUGCCACCUCAAGAACCAUGUUUGCUCUCUCUGUAGGAUUACUAGAAUCCUGCGUGGCAGGGGUACUGAGUUCUGGUGCAAGAGCAUUAAGCAGGUAAACAUAGGCCUCUCCAUCCUUCACAUCAGAAGAGAAGUUUGUAACCUGUUUAGUGUAACCAGCUUUCUUCAGAUGAAAAUUCAUCCAUUUCAGCAAAACUUUUUCAGGUGCUAAACCCAUGAGCUCCUCCACCUCCUUACUGUCAUCCACCAAUUCCAGAAGUUGGGGAGUUUUCUUUAAAUUGAGAUCUGCUAACAGUUGAAUCUUAAUAAUUUGGGAAAUCAAUCCAAGUACCAGAUGG